CCGCACCGGCCCGAGGCCCGUUCCCCUUCCACUCUCUCCCUCCUCCGCUCUGUCUGUGGGCGGAGACUCGCAUCGUCCCCGAGCUCCUGCUACUCAUGGCGGAUGUAGCACCUCUUCGUGCGCGUCGUCGUCGCCGCCGCCAACAGCUUGGCCGCCGCCGCCGUCGUCGUCGCUGGGUCCUCCUUUUUCUCCACCUAGGUCAGUUAGCCUCCCUGCUCCCGUCAUUCCCUCGGAGCGGCAACGGCGGAGCAGCGAGGAAGCCCUAGGCACCGCCAAUAGCAUAGCCGUCGCCAACAGCCCUGCCGCCGCGGCCUAGGCAGCACCACGGCGUUCCGCCGACGCAGCCUUACACCACCGCGUCCCGCUGCGGCCGCCUCGCACCAUCGCUUUCUGCCGCGGCCUCGCACCAUUGCGUCACGCGACACCCAGAUGCAUUAGAAGCCAUUAAUUCUGGAUUCGAAAAAUCAUCCAAGUCAUGAUGGAGUAUUGGCAGCUUCUGGAGCUUAUUCUGCAAGAUUACUUUGUAGAAAAGUUUCCUCUCAUAUCAAGUGGUUUUUAAGUAGUAAGAGGAGGUUACAGAUCUUAAAAUGAUGAUACUAUUAGUUGGAAUUUGACUCUGCAUGCACCGGCUAGAAUGGAAUAGGAUUAGCAAAUGAAGUAACUGCUCUCCUUGUUUGAUCAAGGCCACGAGAGAUAUUUUCACGAGGAUAUCUUUCAUAUUCAACCAUUGUGCAAGUCCUGUCUUGCUUAAUGGACAUGAGGAUGUCUUGAUUGCUGGCUGUAUGGAAGCACAUCCACACAUGUAACUCAGUCAUGUGGGAUACAUAUAUAUUGUGUCGGAAUCUGAUAACUGUGUGCGUGUUGAUGGAUUUUCUUAGUAGAUGCAUUAGAAGCCAUUAAUUCUGGAUUCGAAAAAUCAUCCAAGUCAUGAUGGAGUAUUGGCAACUUCUGGAGCUUAUUCUGCAAGAUUACUUUGUAGAAAAGUUUCCUCUCAUAUCAAGUGGUUUUUAAGUAGGUAAACUGAGAUUCCAUUAUUCUGUAUUUGACUGCGCAAGUGCUUUAUAGAAGAUUAGAAAUUUCUGUGGUUGACUUCUACUUCUCUACAAGAUGACUUGCUUUUCUGUUUUUCUUUGUUGAACAUGUUUCCUGAUGGACUUUGGUAAACCAAUAAUGUUUGCUGAACCUGUUUGUGUAACUGUGUUAUAUGCCUUGAGUCACAUGUUCCCUAAUUGAUUUAGUGGAUGUUUACCCAUAUUUCUUCAGCUUUCCUUCGAAAUAAGCACUAACAAGUAAGCAACAGAAAGGACUACUAACUGAGUUUACCAAGUUUCCUACUCUAUCUGUGAUAUGUUACGACGCAAGCUUAAAUGUGCAAUGCUAGGGUUAUCCGUUUAGAUCUUAUAAAUUUUACAUUCUGCUGUGAGCAAUGCUUGUCAAAUACUUUCUCUUGUUCAUAUUCUUAUGUGAGCAUGCCUCUCGGUGCCGGCUGGCUGCUAUGGCCAUGUGGGUGGCAUGGUCAUUGGUGUUUGCCGUAGCAUGGCGUUGGUGUUGCAGCUGCUUUGGCAUCUGGCGGUACCCUGGUUCAGCGAAGAUGUUUGAGCGUUGGGGUGCAUAACUUGUCCAAUUUUUUCUAGGCCGACAGGAGCAGUGUCGGCGGGCGUCAUUACCUUCUUGAAGGCUCCAUGGCAGUCACUCUUUGUCCUUCUUGUCGCUCUGGGUGAAAAACUGAUCCCCGGAUUGGGCGUGGCGUAUCCUUGUAGGCACCGCUUUUGAGUAUAUGUUUCAUCGAUGUCCAGCUUCACAUCUUCGUGGUGCAUAGCUCAUGAUGAAGGGCUCAGUCGACUCCAGCAGUUCUUUUUGGUCCAUUUGUAGUGUGCUUGGUGGCAGGGGUGUUGCUAUUCCUCGGCACCCUUGCAUCUUACCUUGGAUGUGUGUUGUGUAUUGUGUGUGGUGGCGGCGUGUUGUAUGCGGUUGCGUGUAUGUUGGCCGUUGCUUUAUAUAUAAAGUGGGGUGAGAGUGUUUUUUAGUUAAUUCAUUUGUUGGCCCGUGGCAAUGCACGGGCACUCUACUAGUCAUCUGUAAUUUCCAAUUGUUGCAGAGCAUAUUAAAAAAGAA
Triticum aestivum (bread wheat) is the source of this 2115-nucleotide long non-coding RNA. RefSeq lists it as uncharacterized. The transcript has 5 exons. Lineage: Eukaryota; Viridiplantae; Streptophyta; Magnoliopsida; Poales; Poaceae. The record is from RefSeq and is a predicted model, not a curated record.